Solanum stenotomum is the source of this 538-nucleotide long non-coding RNA. RefSeq lists it as uncharacterized. The transcript has 3 exons. The record is from RefSeq and is a predicted model, not a curated record. Lineage: Eukaryota; Viridiplantae; Streptophyta; Magnoliopsida; Solanales; Solanaceae.
UUACAAAGGACCCUAAAACCCAAACUGGAAUGACAAGUAAAUCAGUAGGAUUCGUAUCUUUGAUCCUAAACAGUUUUUAAUUGAGGUAGAAUUGAUGAUCAUCAUUACCACCACCACCACCACAACAACAACAACAUACCCAGCAAAAUCCCACUUGACCUUACCCCUACCUCAUCUCGUGGAGGUAGAGAGGUUGUUUCCAAAGGACCCUAAAAUCCAAACUGGAAUGACGAGGCUGUUUACAAAGGACCCUAAAACCCAAACUGGAAUGACAAGUAAAUCAGUAGGAAUCGUAUCUUUGAUCCUAAACAGUUUUUAAUUGAGGUAGAGUUGAUGAUCAUCAUUACCACCAGCAUAACAACAAUACUAAUCUCCUAACAGCAAGCAGCUCAAUAUCAAUGGUAAAAGCAAAAAUAAACAUGAAACGAAGGAAUCAACCAUAAGAUUAAGCUAAUACAAAACGAGAAACACACAAACACAUCAACUGAAACCCUAGAAAAACUACAUCAUUGCAGCAAUUGAAAACAUUGAUGAACCC